This 306-nucleotide unclassified non-coding RNA is filed under the name plant metagenome. Its description in RNAcentral is "partial contains 5.8S ribosomal RNA, internal transcribed spacer 2, and large subunit ribosomal RNA". The stretch from base 1 to 105 matches the Rfam family "5.8S ribosomal RNA", at positions 50 to 154 of the family's 154-position model. The record is from RNAcentral.
GAAAUGCGAUAAGUAGUGUGAAUUGCAGAAUUCAGUGAAUCAUCGAAUCUUUGAACGCACAUUGCGCCCCUUGGUAUUCCAUGGGGCAUGCCUGUUCGAGCGUCAUUUGUACCUUCAAGCUUUGCUUGGUGUUGGGUGUUUGUCUCGCCUCUGCGCGCAGACUCGCCUCAAAACAAUUGGCAGCCGGCGUAUUGAUUUCGGAGCGCAGUACAUCUCGCGCUUUGCACUCAUAACGACGACGUCCAAAAAGUACAUUUUUUACACUCUUGACCUCGGAUCAGGAAGGGAUACCCGCUGAACUUAAGC